UGUUCGGCGAGGCGUCUCUUCAACGCAAGCAAGAUGUCUCCAGCGGUUGAGAUGCCAGCCUUUGCGUUGAUCAUGUAGGGAAGUGUUUUCGUCAGCACAGCCAUAGCCUUCGCC
Molecule: non-coding RNA, 114 nt
Filed under: Lotharella oceanica
Lineage: Eukaryota; Cercozoa; Chlorarachniophyceae
Source: RNAcentral